Long non-coding RNA from Triticum dicoccoides, 1371 nucleotides. RefSeq lists it as uncharacterized. Lineage: Eukaryota; Viridiplantae; Streptophyta; Magnoliopsida; Poales; Poaceae. The transcript has 4 exons. The record is from RefSeq and is a predicted model, not a curated record.
UUGAAGCAUGUGUUCUUAUUUUUUUAUAUGACUAGAUGCAUAUGAACUGAAGCUCCAUAAUUUUCUUUUCAAGUCGACAUUGGUGGCAACCAAUACAAUUAGCGUUAUUUACAACCAAUGAAGUCUUAUAAUUUUCUUUCUUAGAAAUAUACAGUGAUGCUGACUAUCAUUUAGUAGCUCUACAGGCACUAGCCAAAAACAAUAAUGUUUAUUUAUUUAACCACCAAAUAGAACAAUAGGUUAUUCUGCAUUAUGGGUACACAAAUCACAACACUAUAUUUCAGCUGUAGAAAUCUGUGUGGAUGCCUGCUGAUAUUUUAAGCCUAUAUAUUGCCGAUUUGGUUUGAGUAAUGCUUGAAGCAUAAUUUACUCCCUAAUGUGCAAAUAGCAGUAUCAUUUUUUGUCAAGAAACUGAGAAGACGGAAGAGAGUUGGUGUUGUCACUGUGGUGAGCCUAUGCGGCAACCACAAGGCUGAAGUCUGCUUUGAUCGUUGUUAAGAUUUGAGCCUUGGCUCCGGUUUUGAUAGCUCUAUAUCAACUUUCAGCGAGUUUUUGUUCUCGGACUUGGGAUCCACAGUCCAAAGUUGAUUGGUGGAUCAAGUGAACUUGGUGCAUCUCCAUUCAAGCUGGAGUACAAUUACCAGCCUGCUUGUUUAGCGCAGUCUCCAUAAUCAUACAAGCAAAUGAGCAGCUGGCGACCCAACACACAAAGUUUCUAUCUUCUUAUUUUCUAUACAAGUAGCAGCUGGCGCAGCGGUGGUGUUGAUGAACGACACCCAAUGCAGAGGCGGCAGUUACCAUAGGGAAGAGGUCAAGAACAUCUAGCUCUUGUGGUGUUCCUCCUCAUUAUUGUCAUCGCCAUCAACAGCAACAAUGACGACCGGCUCAUGAGACAACUACUAGAGAGGGAGCGAGGAAGGGGGAGACAGAUCUUUCAGGUACAAUGGAUCUCGGUCAAAAAUCACCUAAGGAAAAUAUGUUGUUCUUCUCUACAAGGGUUGCAUGUGGAAUUUGAGGAGAAUCUGUGCACCAGCAUCCGACUCCUUGAUGUUGCUCUGAUCAUAUUGUGUAAAUAUAUUUCUAAUAAAGAAAUCGCCCGAUGGUGUACAUGUUAUAAAUAACAAGAAUCAUCAAGUGUGAGAGAUGGCAACAUCAUGAUGGGAUGAUGGAUUGACAAGUACCAAAGAUUGAUGCCAAGCAGAACUAAAACCUAUCCAUGGAUUACCUUCAGUCCCGCAUUCCAAUCAACAACAUUGGGCUGAGUGAGCGCGCGGGUGGCGCAAGAGGCAAUGGGCAGCCGGUGGAGACUGAGUGGAGAGCGGCGGUGGCGAGGUCGAGAGGUUGGCACCAGCGGCGAGUAGGCAAUUACCG